AGCGCAACCCUUGUCAUUAGUUGCUCGAAAGGGCACUCUAAUGAGACUGCCGGUGACAAACCGGAGGAAGGUGGGGAUGACGUCAAGUCCUCAUGGCCCUUAUAGGUGGGGCUACACACGUCAUACAAUGGCCGGUACAAAGGGUCGCAAACCCGCAGGGGGAGCCAAUCCAUCAAAGCCGGUCGUAGUCCGGAUCGCAGUCUGCAACUCGACUGCGUGAAGUCGGAAUCGCUAGUAAUCGUGGAUCAGCAUGUCACGGUGAAUACGUUCCCGGGUCUU
Molecule: ribosomal RNA, 279 nt
Filed under: uncultured Hydrogenophaga sp.
Lineage: Bacteria; Pseudomonadati; Pseudomonadota; Betaproteobacteria; Burkholderiales; Comamonadaceae
Description: partial 16S ribosomal RNA
Rfam family: Bacterial small subunit ribosomal RNA
Source: RNAcentral